AUACCUCACUUUGCCUCACAGCACCUGUUGAGAACCACUGUUCUAGACAACUGAUACUGUACACAAUAAAAGCAAAGUAAAUCCAGAGCCCCACCCCCCCUAACAGACUAUGCCGGCAGUUUAUGAACAUGCAGAUGAGCAAGGAUGAUGAUGAUGAUGAUGAUGAUGAUGAUGGUGGCAAAUCCAGGGCAAAGACAGAGGUGUCUCUAUCAUCUGAAGAAGGAAGUGAUUGUCUUGAACCUCAAGAGAUUGAUGGGCCUUUCAAAAUCAAGACCAAUGACUAUGAUGAAGGUGGUGGUGAUUGUGGUGGUGAUGACGACGGUGAUGAGUGUUCUGGAGAAGUCUCUGCUGAAAAAGAAUUUGAGAGCAUUAGUGACAGAUGUGUUGUA
Long non-coding RNA from Sardina pilchardus (European sardine), 389 nucleotides. RefSeq lists it as uncharacterized. Lineage: Eukaryota; Metazoa; Chordata; Actinopteri; Clupeiformes; Clupeidae. The transcript has 3 exons. The record is from RefSeq and is a predicted model, not a curated record.